Molecule: ribosomal RNA, 253 nt
Filed under: uncultured bacterium
Lineage: Bacteria
Description: partial 16S ribosomal RNA
Rfam family: Bacterial small subunit ribosomal RNA
Source: RNAcentral
UACGUAGGUGGCGAGCGUUGUCCGGAUUUACUGGGCGUAAAGAGCGCGCAGGCGGUCGGUCAAGUCGGAUGUGAAAGCCCCCGGCUCAACUGGGGAGGGUCAUUCGAUACUGAUCGACUCGAAGGCAGGAGAGGGAAGCGGAAUUCCCGGUGUAGUGGUGAAAUGCGUAGAUAUCGGGAGGAACACCAGAGGCGAAGGCGGCUUCCUGGCCUGUUCUUGACGCUGAGGCGCGAAAGCCAGGGGAGCAAACGGG